This 519-nucleotide ribosomal RNA is filed under the name uncultured bacterium. RNAcentral's name for it is "partial 16S ribosomal RNA". The record is from RNAcentral.
GUAGUUAGCCGGGGCUUUCUUACAGGGUUACGUCACUUCCUUCGUCCCCUGCGACAGAGGUUUACAAUCCGAAAACCUUCAUCCCUCACGCGGCGUUGCUGGGUCAGGCUUGCGCCCAUUGCCCAAUAUUCCCCACUGCUGCCUCCCGUAGGAGUCUGGACCGUGUCUCAGUUCCAGUGUGGCCGAUCAGCCUCUCAGCUCGGCUACCCAUCGUCGGCAUGGUGGGCCGUUACCUCACCAUCUACCUAAUGGGACGCGAACCCCUCCUAAAGCGAUAAAUCUUUGACCCCUCUGUCAUGUGACUGCGUGGUCUUAUGCGGUAUUAGCAUCGAUUUCUCGAUGUUAUCCCCCUCUUUAGGUCAGGUUGUUCACGCGUUACUCACCGUCGCGCCACUAAGAUAUACAUGUAUUGUCUACGCGUAUAUCUCCGUUCGUACUUGCAUGUUGUUAGGUCGACGCCGCCACGCGUUCGUCCUGAGCAGANANACUACUACUACAGAGCGGCGGCGCGACGACGCG